Long non-coding RNA from Lotus japonicus, 439 nucleotides. RefSeq lists it as uncharacterized. The record is from RefSeq and is a predicted model, not a curated record. The transcript has 2 exons. Lineage: Eukaryota; Viridiplantae; Streptophyta; Magnoliopsida; Fabales; Fabaceae.
UUUAAAAUGUGCGGUGUCCCUCAUCUAUCUAAAAUGUGCUAACGAUGCCUUUCCGUUAACUUCAGCUAAGUUUCUUGAGCUUGUACAAUCGAGACAAUAUCCACUUGAUCGGUCUCGGCGAUGCCCGCUUCGAUAUUAUGUGUCAAAUGAUGGGGGUGACGAGAAAGGAUUUGGGAACCCCAGUACUGGAAGUUAUAAUGACAAGUCGAUGCCCAAUUUCUACUCUUCCCAGAUCUAUGGAAAAUGGCAACUCUAUUUCAAAAAAAAAAAACCCAUUUGGGAUAUAUGAAGCUGCUUCUCUUUUGAAUUUGAUAUGAAUAUUAGUCAGUUUGAUUGAGCAUUAGAAUUAUAGCCUUCAGAAGCUGCUGCUAUUGGUAGCUUUACUAGCUUAUAAUUUACAUGUUCUGUAAUGAGAUGCAAUUUUAUUGUUUUUCAAUCA